Molecule: unclassified non-coding RNA, 221 nt
Filed under: Hevea brasiliensis (rubber tree)
Lineage: Eukaryota; Viridiplantae; Streptophyta; Magnoliopsida; Malpighiales; Euphorbiaceae
Source: RNAcentral
GAGCCGCAUCGCGUGAUACUGACCGCUUCGUUCUUCCAGCGUGUUUUGGCCAAAGCUGAACGACACGUCGAUCUCGCGCACCUCGACCCCAUUUUUGCGCGCAUCGCCGACGAUCUGCGCCGGGGCAUAGAAUCCCAUCGGCUGCGAGUUUAAUAAUCCGCAGCAGAAUACAUCGGGAUGAUAGUGCUUGAGCCAUGACGAGACAUAGACAAGCUGCGCGA